UUUACACGGUGUGUGUGCAAAAUCAGUAAUUACUAUACCAAAUUCGCAGUUUAUUUUUUCACGGAAAUUCAUUCACAAUAUUACUUACUAUCGUUGGGCGUUAUAUUAUUAUGACUGUUAACCGGUGAACACGUGUAUUUCCAUGAUGUGCAAUAAUAAUAACGACUCCAUAUUGUAGCAAUGCACAUAAAGUUCGGAGAACAAUAAUUAAUAUAACAGCCAUGUAAGAAGAAAAUGACGCCAGCAUGCGGAAAAUCUACAUCAUAUAUACGUCUUCUAUUCUCGAUGUGCGGUCCAAUUCCAAUGGGUAAUAACAAUAGUUAAUAUGAUAAAUUAUUGCGAUAAUUAAUAUAUGUG
Acyrthosiphon pisum (pea aphid) is the source of this 357-nucleotide long non-coding RNA. RefSeq lists it as uncharacterized. Lineage: Eukaryota; Metazoa; Arthropoda; Insecta; Hemiptera; Aphididae. The record is from RefSeq and is a predicted model, not a curated record. The transcript is spliced from 3 exons.